RNAcentral lists this long non-coding RNA (1859 nucleotides) under Solanum tuberosum (potato). RNAcentral describes it as "long non-coding RNA (STUB_LNC011113)". Lineage: Eukaryota; Viridiplantae; Streptophyta; Magnoliopsida; Solanales; Solanaceae. The record is from RNAcentral.
UUGAAUGUCCUGUUGAAUUUGCUUGGCGGAAUUCCCAACAGAUUGUUGACAGUAACUUAUAUCAAUAAGAGCUAGUGUGGUUAUAUCUGCAAAAUCUCGAGGGAUUGAAUCCAAAUAAUAGCAACUUCUAAGAAAAAGUCGUUCAAGGUACGGAAAGUGAUCACUACUAGCUCUCCAGUACCGAAUGCAUACUUCAUGCAGAAACAAGAACUUCAAGUGAGGAAACCCUUCCUCAACUACUUCCCACUCCUCGCCUAUGAAGGAUUUCCAUGAUAGUUUAAGGACCUCGAGUUUGGGUAAUUUACCAACAAUGCUCAAAUCCUUCCAUGCCAAAAAGAAUUCUCCGCUAAAAGUUAAACUCUUAAGGUUUUGUGGAAAAGCAUCCGGAGGAGGUAAGCGUAAAGUUGAAACAUCAGUUGGAGGUGCAGUUGCCCUGAAAGGUAAGAGUAAACUUGUAUAAAGUUGAACAACUAGCCACAUGAGUCCUACAUGACACAAUACACAUAAGACACCAACUAUUUCCAUCACAUUUCCAGCUAGGUCCACUAACAGGAUAAAGUAGAAAGAUGUGAGGUCACUAACCUUAUCAUCAUGUAGACAAAAGAAGAGACCAAAGUUAAAAAAAAAAAAGACAGGAAAAAGUAGAAAAAUUUGUGAUCAUACAUUAUUAGACCCUACACUAAUCUCUUUAGAAAAAUAAGUUUCAAUAAAGGAGUUCAAGCUGUAUAUUGAUAACGUCCAAUUCAAAUUCAAGUGUAGUACGGUCUAGCAAUAAUAAACUCAACAAAAGUUGGGGUCGAGGAGUACACUUGUGUCAAGGUGACAGAGAGUGUUCUGGCCUAUACAGUAUGUAUGUAUGUACAUAAAAUUUGGAGUAUCUAAAGAACCACUGACAAAUGGCUAUACGAAAGAUCAUAUACAAUUAAAUUACAAGCCAUUUGCAAUCAUCCUGCCACCUUAUGCAGAAAAAAUGAAAAUUCUGAUUUGACAUUUAUUUCAGAGAACUGGCUAGUCCUCAGAACACCUUAACUACUCGCUGCAGAGAAAAAAAAAAGACACAAAAAAUGGAAAAUAAUAUGUUAGAUGUCCCAUAAUUAAGGAACAAGAGAACAUUAUAGCAAGAAUGAGCAUGCAGGUAUAAGAACUUACACAUUAUUGCGGCAAGAAGCAACUUCUUUCUCAAAGUCAUCUUCAUCUGUUGUUAUAUCGAAAAUGCUUUCUACAAAAGAUGAAAAAUGAAAUGUUACACUUCCCAAAAUCAAGAAUGAACAUGCAAGUAUAACAAGUUACACAAUAUUGGAAGGAUUCAAAUCAAACACAAUGACAGCAUCAAGAACUUUUGUUGAAUUGGUGCAAUUGGACUUACUAAAGCUAUUAUCCAGAUUAUUAUCGAGUUUACUAUGAUGAUGAGUUAAAUAUUGUUGUAAAUCAAGGAAGAAGAUGUCUUACAAAAGAUGACGAGUAUGGACCUCGAUAGAGCUUCCAUAGUUGUCUUGAAUGUCCUGUUGAAUUUGCUUGGCGGAUUUCCCAACAGAUUGUCGACAGCUACUUAUAUCAAUAAGAGCUAGUGUGGUUAUAUCUGCAAAAUCUGGAGGGAUUGAAUCCAAAUCAUAGCAAUUUCUAAGAAAAAGUCGUUCAAGGUACGGAAAGUGAUCACUACUAGCUCUCCAGUACCGAAUGUAUAUGUUAUCCAGAAACAAGAACUUCAAGUGAGGAAACCCUUCCUCAACUACUUCCCACUCCUCGCCUAUGACGGCAUUGUCUGAUAGUUUAAGGACCUCGAGUUCGGGUAAUUUACCAACAAUGCUCAAAUCCUUCGAUGCCAAAAAGAAUUCUCCGCUAAAAGUUAAACUCUUAAG